RNAcentral lists this transfer RNA (87 nucleotides) under Calditrichota bacterium. Its description in RNAcentral is "Calditrichaeota bacterium tRNA-Leu". It matches the Rfam family "tRNA". From Rfam's summary of the family: Transfer RNA (tRNA) molecules are approximately 80 nucleotides in length. The record is from RNAcentral. Lineage: Bacteria; Pseudomonadati; Calditrichota.
GCCGGGGUGGCGAAAUUGGCAGACGCAAGGGACUUAAAAUCCCUCGGUCAUUCAAUGACCGUGCCGGUUCGAGUCCGGCCCUCGGCA